UAUGAUUUGUACAUUUUCAGUAUGUGCUUGUUCUAUUUUUAAACAAAACAAUCUGAAGUUGUCUUUAUUUUUAAGUUAUCGUGCUGUGAUUUUACCAGUCCGGCCCACUUGGGAGUAGAUUUUUCUCCAUGUGGCCCCCGAUCUAAAAUGAGUUUGACACCCCUGACUUACAGUAUCAGUGUCAAUACAGCUGUUGAGUGUGCCACACGAUCACCGGGGCCUCAUUUACCCAUCACUAGGAUUUACACUUAUUUUCUAUGAGACAAAUUGCUUCGGUUUGGCUUUCUCCUGAGCGUAUUACUAACCAAUGCACCAAAGUAUUCAUCUACUCAAUACUUUUCUAUGCCAAAAUUUGAGGGUUACGCUUUCACUGCCUUGCAUGAAACGUGUCAUUUCUUCCAGUGUGAUCCAGUCCAACACAAUCAGCCAAGUUCAGCUCCAAUUUUAUUACCUUGCCAGGAUGACAUGAUACUACAUUACGAGGCAUGCACACAGUGUGAGUCUUCGUUCCGUUCUUCCCUCCCAGGACUCCAAAGCUAAACGCACAAGUGGGAGGAUGUUUGCAGUGACUAAACCAUCACAUUCAAAUACUUGGCAUGGCAAUAGGACGGCUCACACGACACGGUUACAUUCACUUCAGUCCGGAACGGCAAUGAUCAACACACACAGCAAAAAGCAGACGGACACACAUUUUUGUCCAUACAGGUA
This is a long non-coding RNA of Nerophis lumbriciformis (worm pipefish), 708 nucleotides long. RefSeq lists it as uncharacterized. The record is from RefSeq and is a predicted model, not a curated record. Lineage: Eukaryota; Metazoa; Chordata; Actinopteri; Syngnathiformes; Syngnathidae.